AAUAAGAGGUCCAGCCUGCCCAGUGACUUUGUUCAACGGCCGCGGUAUCCUAACCGUGCGAAGGUAGCGUAAUAACUUGUCCUUUAAAUAAGGACUAGUAUGAAUGGCAUCACGAAGGUUAUACUGUCUCCUUUUUUUAAUCAGUUAAACUAAUCUCCUCGUGAAGAAGCGAGGAUAAAAAUAUAAGACGAGAAGACCCUAUGGAGCUUCAAAUAAAAUGGCACUUAUUACAUAUUUCUAUACUUAAAUCUUUUUAAUAUUAUGACCAUAAGUUUUUGGUUGGGGUGACCACGGGGUACAACAAAACCCCCAUGUUGAAAUUUUAAGCCAAGAACAACAUAUCUAAGCAUCAAUAUUUUGACAUUCAUUGACCCAAUAUAAUUGAACAACGAACCAAGUUACCCUAGGGAUAACAGCGCAAUCCACUUCAAGAGCCCCUAUCGACAAGUGGGUUUACGACCUCGAUGUUGGAUCAGGAUUUCCCAGUGGUGCAGCCGCUACUA
RNAcentral lists this ribosomal RNA (503 nucleotides) under Pelophryne brevipes (Zamboanga flathead toad). RNAcentral describes it as "partial 16S ribosomal RNA". It matches the Rfam family "Bacterial large subunit ribosomal RNA", at positions 1844 to 2567 of the family's 2925-position model. Lineage: Eukaryota; Metazoa; Chordata; Amphibia; Anura; Bufonidae. The record is from RNAcentral.